Molecule: long non-coding RNA, 422 nt
Organism: Myotis daubentonii (Daubenton's bat)
Lineage: Eukaryota; Metazoa; Chordata; Mammalia; Chiroptera; Vespertilionidae
Source: RefSeq, a predicted model, not a curated record
GCAUCCCUGAGGAGGUGGCAUUUGAAUGAAAGAGUCAACCCUCUAAGGAGAAGAGUUUCGGGCCCAGAGAACAGAAGAAUUCCUCUCCUUCUGAAGCUAUGGCCCUGACAUACCAAAGGGAAACUGAGUCUCCUGAGAGGGACUCUUGUGAAAUGUGCCUUGGCGCUGGGAUUGGGUGUUGGAAGGAGCCGAGAUAACACAGCAGGAAACCGUGUUCUUUUGAUUCCGUUGAUUGGUUUCCUGCUGAAGGCCAUCCAUGACCGAGGAGGGAGUAUACAAGACCAUUGUCCAAUUUCCAUUUCUCCCAGUGCCUCUUGCUUCUGGCGGGGAAAGCUGGCUGCCCUCGUUUGACGCGAUCAGGCCCCAGCACUGAACAGUGCAUGAGGCUGGUUGUACAUGCUGCACGGAGCACGUUAGGGAGG